Molecule: transfer RNA, 73 nt
Filed under: Felis catus (domestic cat)
Lineage: Eukaryota; Metazoa; Chordata; Mammalia; Carnivora; Felidae
Also listed under: 3 other names
Rfam family: tRNA
About the family: Transfer RNA (tRNA) molecules are approximately 80 nucleotides in length. Their secondary structure includes four short double-helical elements and three loops (D, anti-codon, and T loops).
Source: Rfam by way of RNAcentral
AUCUGGCUGGCUCAGUCAGUAGAGCAUAGGACUCUUGAUCUUGGGGUUGUAGGUUCACAUCCCACAUUGGAUG